GACGAACGCUGGCGGCGUGCUUAACACAUGCAAGUCGAACGGAAAGGCCCUGCUUUUGUGGGGUGCUCGAGUGGCGAACGGGUGAGUAACACGUGAGUAACCUGCCCUUGACUUUGGGAUAACUUCAGGAAACUGGGGCGAAUACCGGAUAGGAGCUCCUGCUGCAUGGUGGGGGUUGGAAAGUUUCGGCGGUUGGGGAUGGACUGGCGGCUUAUCAGCUUGUUGGUGGGGUAGUGGCUUACCAAGGCUUUGACGGAUAGCCGGCCUGAGAGGGUGACCGGCCACAUUGGGACUGAGAUACGGACCAGACUCCUACGGGAGGCAGCAGUGGGGAAUAUUGCACAAUGGGCGGAAGCCUGAUGCAGCAACGCCGCGUGCGGGAUGACGGCCUUCGGGUUGUAAACCGCUUUCGCCUGUGACGAAGCGUGAGUGACGGUAAUGGGUAAAGAAGCACCGGCUAACUACGUG
Molecule: ribosomal RNA, 468 nt
Filed under: uncultured bacterium
Lineage: Bacteria
Description: partial 16S ribosomal RNA
Rfam family: Bacterial small subunit ribosomal RNA
Source: RNAcentral